GGGCUCAUAGCUCAGCCUGGUAGAGCGAAUGGCUCUUAACCAUUAGGUCGAGGGUUCGAAUCCCUCUGAGCCCG
Molecule: transfer RNA, 74 nt
Filed under: Candidatus Woesearchaeota archaeon
Lineage: Archaea; Nanobdellati; Candidatus Woesearchaeota
Description: tRNA-Lys
Rfam family: tRNA
About the family: Transfer RNA (tRNA) molecules are approximately 80 nucleotides in length. Their secondary structure includes four short double-helical elements and three loops (D, anti-codon, and T loops). Further hydrogen bonds mediate the characteristic L-shaped molecular structure. tRNAs have two regions of fundamental functional importance: the anti-codon, which is responsible for specific mRNA codon recognition, and the 3' end, to which the tRNAs corresponding amino acid is attached (by aminoacyl-tRNA synthetases). tRNAs cope with the degeneracy of the genetic code in two manners: having more than one tRNA (with a specific anti-codon) for a particular amino acid; and 'wobble' base-pairing, i.e. permitting non-standard base-pairing at the 3rd anti-codon position.
Source: RNAcentral